This is a non-coding RNA of Thermoplasmatales archaeon SM1-50, 73 nucleotides long. The record is from Rfam. NCBI's taxonomy places the organism in Archaea, Methanobacteriati, Thermoplasmatota, Thermoplasmata, Thermoplasmatales.
GCCGCCGUAGCUUAGCUGGUGGAGCGGCUGAUUCGUAAUCAGCAGGUCAGGGGUUCAAAUCCCUUCGGCGGCU